UUGUGUUGUUGUGUUCUUCUUUCUCUUUUAGGGUUUUACCCUUCAAUCUUACAGAGUAGAUCCUGUAGAUUGAGCCUGAUCACUCAUUUGUAGUGUAGAUCACUACAAGUGGUAUCAGAGACGGUCUUUCCUUGGAUUGAUCAUGGAUGAUGGUAAUGGAUUUAAGGCUUUAGCUGGGCAAUUAUCUACUUUUCUUCGGGUUCAAGAAGUAACAACAAGGGUUUUAAAAAAUAAACCCUCUCAUGUGCUUCUAGCCAAAUACAAGAAAAUUUUAGCAAGAGAAACGAAGAAAUUGCUGUUACUGGAGCGUGAGAUAUAUUUGAGUCAAUCUGUUGAUGAGAAUUGGGAAUCAAAUUCAUGGGAGAGAGCUUCGAAUUAAUUGGAUCUGUGUUGAAGGAAGUGACGCUCAUGGAGAAAGAAAUCGGUCAAAAACUGGAAGAACCUCCUACUGAUUCAAUUUCAUUAAACGAUUUCACUUCAAAAACUUCUCUUCUAGCAACAAACAAAGGUAAUUAUCGAUCCAGUUUCAAUCCCCAAUUUUCAAUUAUUGAUAGAGCUAAAGAUGGCAGUUCAAAUCGCAACUGUGAGAAAUCAGUACCGAUUCAUGAAAAUGUUUCUUCUCACAAAACCGAGUCCAUUUUUUCCUUCUAUGAUGGGUGCAAAGUGAAUCUACUAUUUCUGGAUUACCAAGAGGGUAAGCUUUUCGAUUCCAUAAUCAAUUCAGUUAAUGAUUUUGUUAAGAAGAAUUUCGUCAAAUUGAGCGAGGAGGAUUUCAAACAAGUACUAUUAACCCUAACUCACAGAUUAUUAAUGGCUAACUGUUCUUCCAGUAUUAUGAAUUCUUCUCGUAGCUUAUUCGAUCGUGGAAAAUACAAAUUGAAGUUUGAUUUUAGAUUGAGGUUAUCUUAUUGCAUGGGUUUUCAAUUUUUGGAUAAUUUGUAUACAAAAAUUGUUCAGAAGCUUGUUUAUCAAAGGGGGUAUCAAUCAAAUUGGUUUUCUGGUGAUUCAAUCUCUUGUAUUCUAGAGAAUGAUGGUUUUAUUACUACUGCUUGAUAUAUGUUUGAUAAAAUGCUUGAGUGCGAAGUUAUGAGAAGGUUAUUUGAUCGAGGAAAGCAGUUUGAAGCUAUUAAAAGGUAUUCUUAUUAUGUUCAAAGUAAUUCUGAAUUCAAUGGGAAAUAUGUUUAUGAGCUAGUUCUUACAAUAGGGUACAUAUUAGAUUCAAUAUUUGAGAACUCGACUGGGUGUGUAAUUGUUAAAGAUGGUAAUAGGUGUUAUGGUAGAAAACUGUUUGUGCAAAGGUCCCAGAGAGGUGGUAGCACCAGGUAUAGUCUUGGUAGAAGGAUAUUUGAUCGUGGUAAAGAAAUUGAUGUAUUCAGAAGGGAAUUAUGUAUAUGAGCUAAUUCUGGGAGUUGGAUACUAUUAGAUUUUUUAUUCGAGUAUUCAAUUGUGUUCUUGUUGGUUAUCAAAGGUGACAGUAGAGAUGAUUGCAAGUGCUUUGAGAAAAUGAUGUAGCAAGUUGUUCUUCUAUGGACUAAAUGGCUACUUCAAAUGCCAAGAAAAAAUGAGUCUGGCAAUGCAGACCAACUAUUGGAUCAAAUACCUGAUCGUCACAGCUGGAGUUUGAAAGAUGAUGAAGUGUUGUGUUAAGGGCUUAAAUUGGAUACUAUAUCCUGUAAUUCAGUGAUCACUCAGGUCCUAAAGAAGUAUGAGGUUGGGAUGGCCCAGGAAGGGCUUGAUAUAAUUCAUAAUACUAUUGCGUGGAGUUGUUAUAUAGAUGCAGAUUUCUUUCUUUUGCAGCUUGCCGAUGGGGUACCUAUGAAAGUAACACGUCUCCAUAUUUGAUCAACAAAGAUUCAUCUUAAUGCAAAAGAGGAGUAUGAUGUAUUGAGGGUUCUUGCGAAGAGUUUAAAAGAAAGUAAGUCAUCUGCGAUCUUGAACUCCGACGGAGAUUUUUUAGUGUUCCCUGACUAUUCUCUCAUGUAUUUGCGCUAUCCUCAACAUGAAUCUUCUUACUGUUAUCGACUAUUACACUUGAUAUACCAGCCAGUGGACGGUUAUACCAAGUUAGGGUACUAUGGACAGAUAAUGGGAUUACAGAUGAUGUUCAUAGUGAUUCACAUCCCCGUUGUGUCGAUAUUCGCGUGGUACUUGAAAUGGAAAUUCAAGUUGUUUCCAACUGGGUUGUGCAGUGUGAUAAAUGUUAGGUGGGUUGAUAAUAUGUUUAUAUCAGUGGGGUGUCUUGACAUCAACCGGACCUAUAAGAGCAACUGGUUCUGCGAAGGCAAGGUCCAUAAUAAAAUUGCAGUAAUUCUUCGGAGGAGCAAUAUAUUUCUGUCAAGUACUAUAUGACUUUUCACCGAGUUACCUGAAACACCUGUCUGUAUGGGUUAUUGACGUUUGCUGUUUGAUAGAGGUAAAAUACUUGGCAGUGUAAUGAUGCCACUAUACAAGCACCGCUCUUUUGGAUUCCAGGCUCCUAUGUAACUGCCAGGACAGUGUCAUGGCUCGUCAGAAAUCCUUAUACGGCCGAUGGACAGUCGCAGAAAUUCUUCUAUGUCAGAAAUUCACCGGUUUUAUAUAAAGGCGGAAUUCAUACAGCGUAUGAGCUUUGCAAUUCACAGAAAAAUGGUCAGUUGUUUGUUGGGAUGGGAGUUGAAAUUUUUAGCAUCGGGACUAAAUGUUUUCUCAUGUUCACUCAAAUUAUAAAUGUGUUGAUAUGGGAUGCUUACUUGAGGUGGAAAGUUACAGUAAGUUGUUAUGCUAAGCUCAACUGCGUACUGAUGACGUGGGUGUUCAUAGGUAAACUCGAGAAGAAUUUUAGUUCGUUCGAAUCCCUUGUAAGAGAAGUGGGAGUUCAUGCCAUGACUGUUGAAGCUACAGGUUCAUGGAGUGUGGAAAUUGUUAACUGGAUCAGUGUAACUAGUAUGGGAAUUCACUUCUACGCGGGAAAGGUCACCACGAACAAGUUUCUUUAGUACAAAAGAGAAAAGUACAAGCUGAAGAUACCGAAAUAUUUCAAGCAGUGUGCCUUCUAAUCAGGUAUGCUAAUUGUAUGAAUAUCAGCAUUAGUCAGAAACAUCGUUACAUUCCGCUCAAGGUGCUCCUGGCUGUAAUUACAAAGAUGAAAGGUGAUAAAAAUGGAAAGACUUGCGGCAGUCAGCAAAAUUCUAUGUUUGAAAGAAUAUCAAGUCGACUGGUUGAUUUUCGUGCAACAACUACCGUCAUGGAUGCUCAAUGCAGUUGCAGAGAAAUAUCAGGUGGACUUGUGAGACGAGUGGUGCAGCGUUUCAAGGCCUCACAUGGUUUCUAUUAGCAGUGUGUUUCUGGUCUUGUAAUAGGUCUCUUUCCAGCACUCCAUCUAACUCUUUAACUCAUAUCUUUGAGGACAAGGAUAAUUUAAAGGGGUGGGUAUUUGUCAUGUCCCAUGUAAUAGUUAUGGGCACCCAUUGGUUAUAGGAAUCCUUAGUUGUAGGUAGUGGUUGUAGUCUCACUUGUGUGAGUGACACAUGUCUUCUAGAUGUGCCCUAUUUAGUUGAGAGUCUGUAAUCUUCCUUCCGCAGUGAAUCGAAUAGAAUUGUGUUGUUGUGUUCUUA
This is a long non-coding RNA of Papaver somniferum (opium poppy), 3593 nucleotides long. RefSeq lists it as uncharacterized. The transcript has 2 exons. The record is from RefSeq and is a predicted model, not a curated record. NCBI's taxonomy places the organism in Eukaryota, Viridiplantae, Streptophyta, Magnoliopsida, Ranunculales, Papaveraceae.